CCUACGGGGGGCAGCAGUGAGGAAUAUUGGUCAAUGGACGAGAGUCUGAACCAGCCAAGUAGCGUGAAGGAUGACUGCCCUAUGGGUUGUAAACUUCUUUUAUAUGGGAAUAAAAUGUUCCACGUGUGGGAUUUUGUAUGUACCAUAUGAAUAAGGAUCGGCUAACUCCGUGCCAGCAGCCGCGGUAAUACGGAGGAUCCGAGCGUUAUCCGGUUUUAUUGGGGUUAAAGGGAGCGUAGGUGGAUUUUUAAGUAAGUUGUGAAAUUUUGCGGCUCAACCGUAAAAUUGCAGUUGAAACUGGCAGUCUUGAGUACAGUAGAGGUUGGCGGAAUUCGUGGUGUAGCGGUGAAAUGCUUAGAUAUCACGAAGAACUCCGAUUGCGAAGGCAGCUCACUGGACUGCAACUGACACUGAGGCUCGAAAGUGUGGGUAUCAAACAGGAUUAGAUACCCGAGUAGUC
This 460-nucleotide ribosomal RNA is filed under the name uncultured bacterium. Its description in RNAcentral is "partial 16S ribosomal RNA". It matches the Rfam family "Bacterial small subunit ribosomal RNA", at positions 338 to 795 of the family's 1533-position model. The record is from RNAcentral.